RNAcentral lists this ribosomal RNA (253 nucleotides) under uncultured archaeon. Its description in RNAcentral is "partial 16S ribosomal RNA". It matches the Rfam family "Archaeal small subunit ribosomal RNA", at positions 474 to 727 of the family's 1478-position model. The record is from RNAcentral.
UACCAGCGGUCCAAGUCGCAAUCUGUUUUAUUGGGUCUAAAACAUCCGUAGCUUGCUAAGCAAGUCUCUUGUGAAAUCCGGCCUCUUAAGGGUCGAAGUGCGAGAGAUACUACAUAGCUAGAGACCGGGAGAUGUGAAGAGUACGGUUAGGGUAGCGGUAAAAUGCGUUGAUCCUUACUGGACUAACAACAGCGAAGGCACUUCACAAGAACGGAUCUGACAGUGAGGGAUGAAGGCUAGGGGCGCAAAACGG